RNAcentral lists this unclassified non-coding RNA (27 nucleotides) under Mus musculus (house mouse). RNAcentral's name for it is "oocyte_clustered_small_RNA10787". Lineage: Eukaryota; Metazoa; Chordata; Mammalia; Rodentia; Muridae. The record is from RNAcentral.
UUGCACCCCACGAGGUUAGUCUCAUUG